Molecule: ribosomal RNA, 417 nt
Filed under: uncultured bacterium
Lineage: Bacteria
Description: bacterial SSU rRNA
Rfam family: Bacterial small subunit ribosomal RNA
Source: RNAcentral
CAAGGGAUUUUCCGCAAUGGGCGCAAGCCUGACGGAGCAACGCCGCGUGGGGGAGGACGCUUUUCGGAGUGUAAACCCCUUUUCUGGGGGACGAAGGUUUCUUCGGAGGCUUGACGGUACCCCAGGAAGAAGGCCCGGCUAACUACGUGCCAGCAGCCGCGGUAAUACGUAGGGGUCGAGCGUUGUCCGGAGUUACUGGGCGUAAAGCGUGCGCAGGCGGCUGCGUUAGCCUGGCGUGAAAGCCCCCGGCUCAACCGGGGAGGGUCGUCGGGGACGGCGCAGCUUGAGAGCGGCAGGGGCCGGUGGAAUCCCUGGUGUAGUGGUGAAAUGCGUAGAGAUCAGGGGGAACACCCGUGGCGAAGGCGGCCGGCUGGGCCGACUCUGACGCUGAGGCACGAAGGCGUGGGGAGCGAACGG